RNAcentral lists this ribosomal RNA (459 nucleotides) under uncultured bacterium. RNAcentral's name for it is "partial 16S ribosomal RNA". It matches the Rfam family "Bacterial small subunit ribosomal RNA", at positions 338 to 795 of the family's 1533-position model. The record is from RNAcentral.
CCUACGGGAGACAGCAGUGAGGAAUAUUGGUCAAUGGGCGGGAGCCUGAACCAGCCAAGUCGCGUGAAGGAAGAAGGUACUUAGUAUUGUAAACUUCUUUUGUCGGGGAACAAAGGCGGAGACGCGUCUCCGGAUGAGUGUACCCGAAGAAAAAGCAUCGGCUAACUCCGUGCCAGCAGCCGCGGUAAUACGGAGGAUGCGAGCGUUAUCCGGAUUUAUUGGGUUUAAAGGGUGCGCAGGCGGGAGAUCAAGUCAGCGGUAAAAUGUCGGGGCUCAACCCCGGCCGGCCGUUGAAACUGGUUGUCUAGAGUUGGAGAGAAGUAGGCGGAAUUCGUGGUGUAGCGGUGAAAUGCAUAGAUAUCACGAAGAACUCCGAUUGCGAAGGCAGCAUACCGGCUCCAUACUGACGCUGAGGCACGAAAGCGUGGGGAUCGAACAGGAUUAGAUACCCUAGUAGUC